RNAcentral lists this ribosomal RNA (303 nucleotides) under Triticum aestivum (bread wheat). RNAcentral describes it as "partial small subunit ribosomal RNA". The record is from RNAcentral. Lineage: Eukaryota; Viridiplantae; Streptophyta; Magnoliopsida; Poales; Poaceae.
UUGCAGGAGCAAGGUGUACGGAAAAUUUGUUGGAACCAAGAUACUCAUCUUGAAUUUAGUGUUUUAUUGCAUCAACAUAACAAUUUAUUGUUUUAUUGCAGGUACUCAAUAGAGUUCUUUUGCUGCAUUCAGAAUCAAGAUCUAUGUAGUACAUGCCUAACGUAUUGGGUACUGGCUACUUCCCCUUUCUUCCUCUGCCAUCUUCCCAGCAGCCAUGAUUCUCAUACCACUGCUCAUUGCAAGGUUCCCAGUCUGCCUUCCCUCCCAACUCUCACAGGAACGCUGACUGGCAGCGCACAUGCC